Molecule: long non-coding RNA, 199 nt
Filed under: Cucumis sativus (cucumber)
Lineage: Eukaryota; Viridiplantae; Streptophyta; Magnoliopsida; Cucurbitales; Cucurbitaceae
Description: long non-coding RNA (CSAT_LNC000314)
Source: RNAcentral
GAAACUUAAAGUUUAAUGCUUAGUGAGUGAUAAUUUAGGAAAUCCUUUUGAGAUACAAAAACACACAUUAAAAACUCUCAUUUUCAUAAAUGUCUUAACACCUCGUUAUGCAUUUAAAUAUCACAAAUCACAUUAGCCUUUACUAAUUUCUCUUCACCUGGACAUUGAAUAUUCUUAGACCCAUCAACUACUAUGAUGA